Molecule: ribosomal RNA, 571 nt
Filed under: uncultured bacterium
Lineage: Bacteria
Description: partial 16S ribosomal RNA
Rfam family: Bacterial small subunit ribosomal RNA
Source: RNAcentral
UGGGGAAUAUUGCACAAUGGGCGCAAGCCUGAUGCAGCCAUGCCGCGUGUGUGAAGAAGGCCUUCGGGUUGUAAAGCACUUUCAGCGAGGAGGAAGGUGGUGAACUUAAUACGUUCAUCAAUUGACGUUACUCGCAGAAGAAGCACCGGCUAACUCCGUGCCAGCAGCCGCGGUAAUACGGAGGGUGCAAGCGUUAAUCGGAAUUACUGGGCGUAAAGCGCACGCAGGCGGUUUGUUAAGUCAGAUGUGAAAUCCCCGGGCUCAACCUGGGAACUGCAUUUGAAACUGGCAAGCUAGAGUCUCGUAGAGGGGGGUAGAAUUCCAGGUGUAGCGGUGAAAUGCGUAGAGAUCUGGAGGAAUACCGGUGGCGAAGGCGGCCCCCUGGACGAAGACUGACGCUCAGGUGCGAAAGGCGUGGGGGAGCAAACAGGAUUAGAUACCCUGGUAGUCCACGCUGUAAAACGAUGUCGAUUUUGGAGGUUGUGCCCCUUGAGGCGUGGNUUCCGGAGCUAACGCGUUAAAUCGACCGCCNGGGGAGUACGGCCNCAAGGUUAAAACUUAAAGGAAUUGC